Long non-coding RNA from Gadus chalcogrammus (walleye pollock), 952 nucleotides. RefSeq lists it as uncharacterized. NCBI's taxonomy places the organism in Eukaryota, Metazoa, Chordata, Actinopteri, Gadiformes, Gadidae. The record is from RefSeq and is a predicted model, not a curated record. The transcript has 3 exons.
GUGUGACGUCUCUCACCCCGUGCAAGACAGUAAGAUCUACUCGUGCCAUUGGUUGGGGGAGGAUCACAUGGUCGCCGGAGGGUGUCAGGCCAACACGCUUUACGUCAUCAGUCGCCACAGCCUCCAGACAGUGGGACAGCUGUGUGGUCUGGACUCUCCCGUCUACUCCACCUCUGUGUGUGCGAGUGGGAAGCGGUCGGGUCUAAUCGCUGGAUCAUCAGGGUCGUCCGUUUACAUUCUAGAUCACCGCAAUUAGAAGGGUUUCCAUGGCAACAUGCAGGUGUUUUUCUACGAGAAAUAAAAAAACUCUGAUCUCUGAAGUGCACUAACAUUUUUAAUUUGGGCUUUGCAUUACAUACCCAACGUUGAGACUAACACUGACACAUGCUCUCACUUAAGCAUAGGUAAAGACACAAACACAUGCACACACACACACACACACACACCCACACAGAGUAAAUAAAGUGAAUCUGGGGUUAUGUGUACUUCAAUUUGAUUGGUGCCCGGUUGGCACCAGGCCGAACACAAAGUCCAGGCCCAGUCAACAGCCAGUCUGUAUGUUGCCACUUUAAUGAGAAUAUGACUUUAUAUAAUGUCAUAUAAAGAUAAAAUGUAUAACAUUAUACAACAUCGUUACCCUGGGUUUCUUCUGAAGUUGUAAUGUUUAGCAAAGUCAUGUUGUUGUAUAUAGUUCAAAUUGUAAUGUUCCAUAUAGUUAAAAGUGUAAUGUUUAACAGAGUCAUAAUGUUGAAUAAAGUUGUAAAGUUUAAUAAAGUUAAAGAUGUUAUGUUCAAACAAUGUCAUAAUGUUUUAUAAAGUGAAAGAUGGACUUUUUUAAAUAAAGUUAAUGUUGAACAAAGCCAUAACGUUGGAUCAAGCUAUACGAAUGUGCCCCAUGUAAUGUAUCCCAGCUGUGUCCGUUUUGUUGGCUUUUCCUUGUGGAAUGUGCUCA